RNAcentral lists this ribosomal RNA (200 nucleotides) under uncultured bacterium. RNAcentral describes it as "partial 16S ribosomal RNA". It matches the Rfam family "Bacterial small subunit ribosomal RNA", at positions 28 to 220 of the family's 1533-position model. The record is from RNAcentral.
GACGAACGCUGGCGGCGUGCCUAACACAUGCAAGUCGAACGAGGUCCAUGCAGUGGCAACACUGCGGAAGACCUAGUGGCGAACGGGUGAGUAACACGUGAGGAACUUGCCCCGGAGACCGGGAUAACCCUCCGAAAGGAGAGCUAAUACCGGAUGUCCUCACCGAGCCGCAUGGUUUGGUGAAGAAAUGGAUUCCGCUC